This 2347-nucleotide long non-coding RNA is filed under the name Cucumis sativus (cucumber). Its description in RNAcentral is "long non-coding RNA (CSAT_LNC001941)". Lineage: Eukaryota; Viridiplantae; Streptophyta; Magnoliopsida; Cucurbitales; Cucurbitaceae. The record is from RNAcentral.
AACAACCUUCUCCGAAGGGUAGUUGAUUAUUCCUCCUUUGAACCAAGACAAUCUUGACUAGAUGCUAUCUCUUAUAUAACUGCUUAUUCUUUAUAGCACUUAGUUAUCACUACUUUAGUCAAGAAUAUACUAACAACUUAGUAAUUCUUGUAAGUGUUACCCACCAUUUUCAGAUUUCAUAGAUUAGAAUCAUUUAUGAAAACUAAUCUAAGAAAACCUAUCCAGAUUUGGAGUUCACGGUGUUCCGAAUCCUAUAAUACAACCCUCCGAAGGGAACGUCGCUCCAGGGCAGACAAGUAGGCAUAUUAUAGAAAUCUCACGGUGCGAUCUAAUGGAAGAGACCGUGGGAUGUGCUGCCACAAAUCCCUCACCACUUACUAUGAACUACUUCCCCUAUUCACCUUGAUUUUGAUCCAUGCAAACACUCUCUGAAGGGAGGCCGCUCCUAUGCACGGCACAAAGCCCUGCAUGGACCUCACGGUGUGAACUCUUAGGGACACUAGAGCUAAAAUACAUUAUUUUUCUCUAGUUGAAGUGUUCUAAAGAAAAAAAUAGGGUAAUCCAAGCUUCAAGAUUUAUAUUUAGCUAACUUAAACAAAUCUUAAGUCUAGAUAAAACAUCCAAGUAUAACCAUUAUACAGGAUUUUACCUAUGAUGUCUAGGUGAUAAACCAUUUUUAUUACCUCACACCUCUCACGAAUGCUCAUAAAACUAGGUUAACUAGGCUCAAGAACUGAUUACGAUCUCCAGGUAGGAGGUGUUCCGUAAACCGUCAACUUAAGAACCUCCAACCUUAGUCAUCUUAUCUGACUUGUUGACAAGAUUGAACCAGGUGAGCCUUUUGUAACCAGUUUUACAAGAUAUCGACCUAUUUCUAUGAAAAAUGGAAGAUAUGUUUAACUAAGUGAGCAUGCAUUUAAUCUUUGUUAUUGAUUUUAAAAGUCUAAUUUAUUUUUUAUAACACUUAUAAAAUUUUUUAGACUUAAUCAAUCAUUUUAUCAAUAUAUAACCUUAUAAAAACAAUCAAUUAAUAUGGAUUUUAAUUUAUUUAACUUUAAUUAAAUCAUAUUUAAUUAAAUUAAAUCAAACAAUAAUUAAUUAAUUUGAUUAAAUCAUAUUUAAUUAAAUUAAAUCAAACAAUAAUUAAUUAAUUUGAUUAAAUCAUAUUUAAUCAAGAAUAACUUAAUUAAUUAAUCAUAUUAAUUAAUUUCCAUAUUAAUCAAUUAACAUGCAUAUAAUACAAUAUAACCUUUAUAUCAUACAUUUUAAUGCAUGAACAUGUUAACAUAUGGUGGGAUUUUAAAUCUAUAUGACAUUCAAAAUGCACACUACAAAUUUAAAGUAAUUUAAUCAUACAUCACAUGCAUAAUAAAAAAAAACACCCUAAAAUUGACUGAUUUUUGGCUCCUAAAUUAAGCUAACUACUAAAUUAUUACAUAAUUAAAUUGGUAGUACAGAACCACCCCCAAAAACUUUCGAACCGGCUGAAAAAACCAACCGAAACCGCUUGAACCGGCCAAAAACCAAAUUUAUUGGCUUAACCGGCCUAAUUAACUAAACAGGCUAGGCGCACACGGGUCGGCGUAGGGCGCAGGAGGCGUCGCGAAGCGGUCAAGGCAGGUUUUUCGGGUCUGUGACCUUCUUUUCUUCAUUUUUUUCAAUUCUCUCACCCGGUUGAACCAGUUACAGCCUAACCAACUCUAAUGAUUUUUUUUUAUUUUAAAAAAAUUACAAAACACUUUGCAAAAAAUUAAAAAUAAGUCAUUAACAAGGCUAAUUACAAUAAUUAGAACAAAACACUUAAUCUAGAGCCAAAAUCAUAAUAUAUCCAUUUUAGUUCAAACCAAAAUUUAUCUAAUAAAUAUGAAUAUGAACCCACCACAUGCAAUUGGGUAAAUGAAUGAAGCAUGCUCUGAUACCACAUGAUAGAACUAAGUCAUGCACAGCGGAAAAAGAAUCGAAUUUCUACCCUAAUUGCCACAAUUAACAUGUAACCAUAAACUAAUCAAAUUAGGGUUUUAAGAAAUAUUACCUUUGAAGCUUUCAAAAGGUUUGAUAUCUUCUUACCAAUUCUAACCGAGACCACCACUAGUACUCAACUGCUAUCCUCUAGACAAAGAACCGGGUUGUGGGACCCAAUUUUGGUGUAGAAAGAAAUGGAGAUAAAAUGGGAUUGGAAGGUUUUUUUUUCUUUUGUUGAGAUGAUGAAAAUGAUAAAAGAGGCAAAAGUCUUUUCAACAUUUGAAAACACCUCUAUUUAUAACCUAAUUACAUGCAAAAAUGCAUGCAAUUCAUUUGCCAAAUCUCAACACCUAAUGUUCCACUAACAAUUAGUGGAACUUAGUGG